This 253-nucleotide ribosomal RNA is filed under the name uncultured bacterium. RNAcentral describes it as "partial 16S ribosomal RNA". It matches the Rfam family "Bacterial small subunit ribosomal RNA", at positions 524 to 776 of the family's 1533-position model. The record is from RNAcentral.
UACGAAGGGGGCGAGCGUUGUUCGGAAUUACUGGGCGUAAAGGGCGCGUAGGUGGUCGUGUAUGUCUCCCGUGAAAGCCCACGGCUCAACCGUGGUGUGUCGGGAGAAACUGCAGGACUUGAGGCUGGGAGGGGCUGGCGGAAUUCCCUGUGUAGCGGUGAAAUGCGUAGAGAUGGGGGAGAACACUCGUGGCGAAGGCGGCCAGCUAGACCAGUUCUGACACUGAGGCGCGACAGCGUGGGGAGCAAACAGG